GUGCCAGCCGCAGCUGCGGUAAUACGAAGGGUGCAAGCGUUACUCGGAAUUACUGGGCGUAAAGCGUGCGUAGGUGGUGGUUUAAGUCUGCUGUGAAAGCCCUGGGCUCAACCUGGGAAUUGCAGUGGAUACUGGGUCACUAGAGUGCGGUAGAGGGGUGUGGAAUUUCCGGUGUAGCAGUGAAAUGCGUAGAGAUCGGAAGGAACAUCUGUGGCGAAGGCGACACCCUGGGCCAGCACUGACACUGAGGCACGAAAGCGUGGGGAGCAAACAGGAUUAGAAUACCCUGGUAGUCCACGCCCUAAACGACUGCGAACUGGAUGUUGGGUUCAACUUGGAACCCAGUAUCGAAGCUAACGCGUUAAGUUCGCCGCCUGGGGAGUACGGUCGACAAGACUGAAACUCAAAGAAUUGACGGGG
RNAcentral lists this ribosomal RNA (420 nucleotides) under uncultured Pseudoxanthomonas sp. RNAcentral's name for it is "bacterial SSU rRNA". It matches the Rfam family "Bacterial small subunit ribosomal RNA", at positions 505 to 918 of the family's 1533-position model. The record is from RNAcentral. Lineage: Bacteria; Pseudomonadati; Pseudomonadota; Gammaproteobacteria; Lysobacterales; Lysobacteraceae.